AUGACUCGGGGAGGCGCGAAGGCAGGGGCGCGGACGAAGCAGUUGCGGGCAACGGCGGGCAUGGGAGGCGCCCUUGUGUGCGCCCGUGGCGUCGAGCACGGGAGGAGAGGCAAGGCCGCGAUGAAGCAGCGGACGGGGUCCUGCGACGUGCGGCUCUGGCCGCUCGAUGCAGGGGCGCAACAGGGGCCGAUGCAGGUCGUGAUGACGACAUCGGCGCGGGACAUGGCGUGCGGCAGCGGCGGGACAUGGCAGCGGGGCGGCGGGAUCGGACGAAGAAGCACGAGCAGGAGGGGAUCGGGAUGA
RNAcentral lists this ribosomal RNA (303 nucleotides) under Triticum aestivum (bread wheat). RNAcentral describes it as "partial small subunit ribosomal RNA". The record is from RNAcentral. Lineage: Eukaryota; Viridiplantae; Streptophyta; Magnoliopsida; Poales; Poaceae.